This 70-nucleotide transfer RNA is filed under the name Cavia porcellus (domestic guinea pig). It matches the Rfam family "tRNA". Rfam says of the family: Transfer RNA (tRNA) molecules are approximately 80 nucleotides in length. Their secondary structure includes four short double-helical elements and three loops (D, anti-codon, and T loops). Lineage: Eukaryota; Metazoa; Chordata; Mammalia; Rodentia; Caviidae. The record is from Rfam by way of RNAcentral.
GGGGACUUAGCUCAGCGGCAUAAGCGCCUGCCUUGUAAGCAGGCAAUCGCCAGUUCGAUCCCUGGUACCA